UACGUAGGGACCAAGCGUUGUUCGGAUUUACUGGGCGUAAAGGGCGCGUAGGCGGCGUGGUAAGUCACUUGUGAAAUCUCUGAGCUUAACUCAGAACGGCCAAGUGAUACUGCUGUGCUAGAGUGCAGAAGGGGCAAUCGGAAUUCUUGGUGUAGCGGUGAAAUGCGUAGAUAUCAAGAGGAACACCCGUGGCGAAGGCGGCUCUCUGGAACGCAACUGACGCUGAGACGCGAAAGCGUGGGGAGCAAACAGG
Molecule: ribosomal RNA, 253 nt
Filed under: uncultured bacterium
Lineage: Bacteria
Description: partial 16S ribosomal RNA
Rfam family: Bacterial small subunit ribosomal RNA
Source: RNAcentral